GAUGAACGCUGGCGGCGUGCUUAACACAUGCAAGUCGAACGGGAAAUAUUUCAUUGAGACUUCGGUGGAUUUGAUCUAUUUCUAGUGGCGGACGGGUGAGUAACGCGUGGGUAACCUGCCUUAUACAGGGGGAUAACAGUCAGAAAUGGCUGCUAAUACCGCAUAAGCGCACAGAGCUGCAUGGCUCAGUGUGAAAAACUCCGGUGGUAUAAGAUGGACCCGCGUUGGAUUAGCUAGUUGGUGGGGUAACGGCCCACCAAGGCGACGAUCCAUAGCCGGCCUGAGAGGGUGAACGGCCACAUUGGGACUGAGACACGGCCCAGACUCCUACGGGAGGCAGCAGUGGGGAAUAUUGCACAAUGGGGGAAACCCUGAUGCAGCGACGCCGCGUGAAGGAAGAAGUAUCUCGGUAUGUAAACUUCUAUCAGCAGGGAAGAUAGUGACGGUACCUGACUAAGAAGCCCCGGCUAACUACGUG
RNAcentral lists this ribosomal RNA (478 nucleotides) under uncultured organism. RNAcentral describes it as "bacterial SSU rRNA". It matches the Rfam family "Bacterial small subunit ribosomal RNA", at positions 28 to 507 of the family's 1533-position model. The record is from RNAcentral.